AACGAACGCUGGCGGCGUGCCUAACACAUGCAAGUCGAGCGCGAAAGUCCCUUCGGGGGCUAGUAGAGCGGCGGACGGGUGAGUAAUACAUGGGUAAUCUGCCCUCGAGUUUGGGAUAACCCUGCGAAAGCGGGGCUAAUACCGGAUAAGACCACGCAGCUCAGGCUACGUGGUAAAAGAUGGUCUGUAUUCGUACAAGCUAUCACUUGAGGAUGAGCCCACGGCCUAUCAGCUUGUUGGUGAGGUAAGAGCUCACCAAGGCGAUGACGGGUAGCUGGUCUGAGAGGACGACCAGCCACACUGGGACUGAGACACGGCCCAGACACCUACGGGAGGCAG
Molecule: ribosomal RNA, 339 nt
Filed under: uncultured Pseudomonadota bacterium
Lineage: Bacteria; Pseudomonadati; Pseudomonadota
Description: bacterial SSU rRNA
Rfam family: Bacterial small subunit ribosomal RNA
Source: RNAcentral